RNAcentral lists this ribosomal RNA (497 nucleotides) under uncultured bacterium. Its description in RNAcentral is "partial 16S ribosomal RNA". It matches the Rfam family "Bacterial small subunit ribosomal RNA", at positions 28 to 507 of the family's 1533-position model. The record is from RNAcentral.
GAUGAACGCUGGCGGCGUGCCUAAUACAUGCAAGUCGAGCGAACAGACGAGGAGCUUGCUCCUCUGACGUUAGCGGCGGACGGGUGAGUAACACGUGGAUAACCUACCUAUAAGACUGGGAUAACUUCGGGAAACCGGAGCUAAUACCGGAUAAUAUAUUGAACCGCAUGGUUCAAUAGUGAAAGACGGUUUUGCUGUCACUUAUAGAUGGAUCCGCGCCGCAUUAGCUAGUUGGUAAGGUAACGGCUUACCAAGGCAACGAUGCGUAGACGACCUGAGAGGGUGAUCGGCCACACUGGAACUUAGACACGGACCAGACUCCUACGGGAGGCAGCAGUAGGGAAUCUUCCGCAAUGGGCGAAAGCCUGACGGAGCAACGCCGCGUGAGUGAUGAAGGUCUUCGGAUCGUAAAACUCUGUUAUUAGGGAAGAACAAAUGUGUAAGUAACUAUGCACGUCUUGACGGUACCUAAUCAGAAAGCCACGGCUAACUACGUG